AAGUUCCCUUCGGGGAGCGAGUACAGCGGCGCACGGGUGAGUAACACGUAGGUAACCUACCCUGGGGAUCGGGAUACCCUGUCGAAAGACGGGCUAAUACCGGAUAAGACCACGGGAGCCUCGGCUCCUGAGGUAAAAGAUGGCCUAUGCUUGCAAGCUAUUACCCCGGGAUGGGCCUGCGCACCAUUAGCUAGUUGGUGAGGUAACGGCUCACCAAGGCGAAGAUGGUUAGCUGGUCUGAGAGGAUGAUCAGCCACACUGGGACUGAGACACGGCCCAGACUCCUACGGGAGGCAGCAGUGGGGGAUAUUGCGCAAUGGGCGAAAGCCUGACGCAGCGACGCCGCGUGGGUGAUGAAGGCCUUCGGGUCGUAAAGCCCUGUCAGGAGGGACGAAACCUCGCCGACCUAAUAUGUCGGCGACCUGACGGUACCUCCAAAGGAAGCACCGGCUAACUCCGUGCCAGCAGCCGCGGUAAUACGGAGGGUGCGAGCGUUGUUCGGAAUCACUGGGCGUAAAGCGCGUGUAGGCGGCUUCUUAAGUCUGGUGUGAAAUCCCGGGGCUCACCCCC
RNAcentral lists this ribosomal RNA (570 nucleotides) under uncultured delta proteobacterium. RNAcentral describes it as "bacterial SSU rRNA". It matches the Rfam family "Bacterial small subunit ribosomal RNA", at positions 71 to 616 of the family's 1533-position model. Lineage: Bacteria; Deltaproteobacteria. The record is from RNAcentral.